Molecule: ribosomal RNA, 842 nt
Filed under: Philanthus turneri
Lineage: Eukaryota; Metazoa; Arthropoda; Insecta; Hymenoptera; Crabronidae
Description: eukaryotic LSU rRNA
Rfam family: Eukaryotic large subunit ribosomal RNA (bases 297-842)
Source: RNAcentral
AUGGGGGGAUUCAUCGUCAGCGGCUCUGGCCUCCCGUCUGCGCGUGAUGCCCCGAGCACGGACCUUCGCGGUUCCGUGGCGAGGGCACGCCGUCUUCGGCGAACGUCUGGAGUCGUAGUCGUGCACUUCUCCCCUAGUAGAACGUCGCGACCCGUUGAGUGUCGGUCUACGGCCCGAGUGGGCGCCUGCCGCGUCGUCUCGCACGCACGCGGCAGACCCUCGGUCGCCCGGCCGGCUGCUCGGCGGUACUCGCACGGUAUCGGGCCGCAACCAAUCCAUCUUGAAUGUGUUUGCGUCGGGCCCGCCGCAAGCUGGGUCAGAAACUCGGAGGUCGGACUCAGCGCCGUCCCCGGGACUGGCCAGCUGUUGGUAGGCGGUGUCCUCGGACUGGCCAAGCUUCGAAUUACCGGUCGGCGACGCUACUGCUUUGGGUACUCUCAGGACCCGUCUUGAAACACGGACCAAGGAGUCUAACAUGUGUGCGAGUCAUUGGGACAGAAAAACCUAAAGGCGAAAUGAAAGUGAAGGUCGGCCUCAGCGUCGACCGAGGGAGGAUGGGCCGCGUCACGAUGCGGCUCCGCACUCCCGGGGCGUCUCGUUCUCAUCGCGAGAAGAGGCGCACCCAGAGCAUACACGUUGGGACCCGAAAGAUGGUGAACUAUGCCUGGUCAGGACGAAGUCAGGGGAAACCCUGAUGGAGGUCCGUAGCGAUUCUGACGUGCAAAUCGAUCGUCGGAACUGGGUAUAGGGGCGAAAGACUAAUCGAACCAUCUAGUAGCUGGUUCCCUCCGAAGUUUCCCUCAGGAUAGCUGGCACUCGCUCGAUCGAGUCUCAUCUGGUAA